RNAcentral lists this ribosomal RNA (494 nucleotides) under uncultured bacterium. RNAcentral describes it as "partial 16S ribosomal RNA". It matches the Rfam family "Bacterial small subunit ribosomal RNA", at positions 28 to 507 of the family's 1533-position model. The record is from RNAcentral.
GACGAACGCUGGCGGCGUGCUUAACACAUGCAAGUCGAACGGUGAAGCGCCUUCCUUUUUGGUGGGUGUGGAUGAGUGGCGAACGGGUGAGUAACACGUGAGUAACCUGCCCCCUUCUUCUGGAUAACCGCAUGAAAGUGUGGCUAAUACGGGAUAUUCUGGGUCUGUCGCAUGAUGGGUCUGGGAAAGAUAUUGUUUCGGUGGGGGAUGGGCUCGCGGCCUAUCAGCUUGUUGGUGGGGUGGUGGCCUACCAAGGCGGUGACGGGUAGCCGGCCUGAGAGGGUGGACGGUCACACUGGGACUGAGACACGGCCCAGACUCCUACGGGAGGCAGCAGUGGGGAAUAUUGCACAAUGGGCGCAAGCCUGAUGCAGCGACGCCGCGUGAGGGAUGGAGGCCUUCGGGUUGUGAACCUCUUUCGCCAGUGAAGCAGGCCUGCCUCGUUUGUGGGUGGGUUGACGGUAGCUGGAUAAGAAGCGCCGGCUAACUACGUG